RNAcentral lists this small nuclear RNA (20 nucleotides) under Arabidopsis thaliana (thale cress). RNAcentral describes it as "snRNA_13140". The record is from RNAcentral. Lineage: Eukaryota; Viridiplantae; Streptophyta; Magnoliopsida; Brassicales; Brassicaceae.
UGGUUCCCUCCGAAGUUUCC